CUACAUUAAGUAUAAUUGUAUCUUUAAUUUCCACUUAAAUGGGCCUAGUUUAGGAGUGUAGA
This 62-nucleotide transfer RNA is filed under the name Pedicinus badii. RNAcentral describes it as "tRNA-Gly". The record is from RNAcentral. Lineage: Eukaryota; Metazoa; Arthropoda; Insecta; Psocodea; Pedicinidae.